RNAcentral lists this ribosomal RNA (4085 nucleotides) under Triticum aestivum (bread wheat). RNAcentral's name for it is "partial small subunit ribosomal RNA". Lineage: Eukaryota; Viridiplantae; Streptophyta; Magnoliopsida; Poales; Poaceae. The record is from RNAcentral.
UUUCCUACACGGAUCUGGUGUACGCGGGAUAGGUGAUCCUAGGUGUACGACAGGUGCGUUGACAGGUGGUGUGCGCGGAUCCUAGGCUCAGUUCAGUGGAAUCAAUCACAAAGUGGAAGGAGGUCGACGAGGCAGUGGCCGCUCGAGGUAUAUGCGACCGUUCUGUUCUCCUCCUCUCGUUUCGGGACCACUGAGCCAGUAGGGAUAGCUAAGAGCUAGCCGAUCGUGGAACCAAACGAGGCGAGGCCGGUCUAAAGCCGACUCGUAGGCAUGCAUGCUCGGUCCUAGACAUGCUCUGAGUACCUCCUACUGGAAGGAGAGUUUUCUUUCUCUGACCUCCUCCUGGUUGCAUACGACGUCGCAUAUGAACUGCCUCGGCUGCUGGGUUGCCUAGAUGGUAAUGUUGAGAAUUUCCUGUAGUGCUUACUAAAGAGACUUCCGUCUUUUUAGCCGGUCCCACCUAGACCUCGCCAAAUGCUCCCACAUGAUCCUCUUGACUAAUAACGGCACUUCUCCUAGAUACAUUUGAAUCUAUUCGAACUACUACUACUGUUCGUUAAACCAGCACUCAAAUCAUCGAACACGUUGUACUUAGUAGUUUUACAUCAGGCCAUAGAACCGAAGACAAGAUUGUAUGUAGUCUUUGUCUAUUCUUUGAGACACAGUCCUCUUUAGUGGAACCGAUUGCACUCUCUUUCUAACAAAACAAAGCUCAUGUAGUCGUUACCUUCGGACCUAUUCGUAUAAUGGCUACUUAAUUCUCCGAAACUUACCCUUUGUGCAAUACUUAAUUAGUAGCCCUAAACGUUCCCGGACGCAAUAGAAGUACUCCUUUUUUCCUACUAAGUGUACCUGGAAUUUGGCCUUUUAUAUAAUGAACUAUUAGUUUUAAUGUUUAUAUAUCAAGGUUUUUAGUGCCUAAAACCAGAUAGUUCUGGUUUAUUUUUGAGCGUGUGACAUCCAGUUGAAAUGCCUUGUGCACCUAUGUACCGAGGUCUUAUGUCCCUUCCAUCGUUUUGAUGUGGACGCACACUAUAUAUAUCAAACCCACGGUAUUAGUCCCUUAACCAUUGUCCCACAUACCUUCAGGGAACGUUUCUAUUACAUGAAGCUUCCACCUCCGUAUCCACCCCCUUCGGUGGCUGUAAUAACGUUAUGGUCGUUCACUGAUCUACGUAACUUUAUCGUCCUAAAACGUCCCGUCUUUUUGGUCUUCGAUCUGGAAGAUAUAACUUCUAUUAGUCGAAAGACCCACUUAGACUUUCGUGUAUACCGGUCCAUUAGGGAACAAAUCUACUUCUACUGUACGAAGCCUAAUUAGGCGAGCUUGAUGCCGACGGAAGACUCGACUUCUUGCUCUAUAGCGUGAGUUAACUCGAUUGGUUGCUAUGUCAAUUAACGUAACGGAAGUUGUAGGUUGGCGGUUCGCAUUUCAUGUAUAGCGUUGGUCAUUUUCCGUGACACGUUAGUUUUAGGUUCACAAUACACUUCUAUUGUCACGUCGGUGCUCUACGAGCACUUGUACUGCUAUGACUGUUCAAGUAGCACGUUUCGUACUUUACCUCGCUCCCAGAAUAUCUUCUCCUAUAGUGUCUUACGUAUAGGGCACGUUUCCGGCUCUUUCAACAGCUACUCCACCUAAACUACCAACAUUUACUCGGGUGCUCCGGGGUUCUCUUAACGUCUCGUACGAACCUAUGCAAAAUCAGGGUACUGAUUUUCAUCACCCUGAUUUUGAACGAUCAGAGUAGGUACGAACCUAGGUUUAUGAUUUCUCUGAUUUUAGAUCAAUAACUCGUAAAUAAUAGGAGGUUUGGGAGGUUAGGUCUUGAUUCCUCUCCUUAAUUUACUCCUCUCUCUCUCGAUUAUGUAUAAAAUCAUCCAAAGGGUACUGAUUUUCUAAAAUCGGAGUUCUGAUCAGGAUCGGAGAAAAAUCAGUCCCCACGAACCUUGAAAUCGGAGAUUUUCUCUGAUAAAAAUCAGUCUGAUUUUUAUCAGGGAACAUAGGUUCGUGGGAGCGUUCGCAUCUCCUCUGUGGUUGUGUAGUCGACUCCUUCAAGGGCUCAACUUCUUCUCUUUCUAACCGCUCAGAAGAAGACGUUACCUUUUGAACCAUCGUCGGCUUUUCGUCUCCGUCGAACGUACAUGUUUAAGAUGGGUGGUGUUUCGAAAAGUGCAUGAAGAGGAUGGUUGUGCUACAUGGAUCCCCUCCUCCCCGUGGCUCGACACCUAGUGUGUUCCCCCCGAUACCCGUCGGACGAACUGUUCGAUCCGUUCGAGCAGUGCCUCCUGAUGUCAGAUCUAUGCUGGUAGUUCUCACUAUAGCUCAGAAAGAGUGUUCUAGACUCUUUCUACGUGGCUCUGGAGGGUUUCGACUUUUUACUAAUACUCCGGUUCUUGACCCAACUGCUUCAAUCUCUCGAACGAAUAUUGUAUCUCCUAUACCAGCUAUUGAAGGACCACGUGUAGCACGGAUUGAGGUCAUCCUCUCCGAAGUUCCUCUAGUACGUACUGUCACAUUUCGAUCACGUCUUACCGUACUGCUGAGUGGCAGUCUAAUCACUGCACUAAUCUCUUUAGUUCCGGUUACAAUUCUGAGACCUGUUUUCCUUUCUCUUCAUGUUGUAAUUACAGUUUCCACUACACCUAUUUCGUCGAUGGUUUCGGCGGUAACUGCUGGAAGCCUUAAGACGAUAUGUACUUCUUCUAUUUCUUGCUGAGCAACCGUAGUUUCGCGGUUCUCUCCUCUAUUAUUCCGAUGAAUUCUUCGUACUGUUACAUGGUUUACUUUUCGAGUCCCAUCAGAGAUAGCAACCUUACCCUCCUAACCCGUUCUGGUGCGAACGGUUCCGUCACAUACUGUUUAUGUUCGCAUUUUCUAUGUUAGGAUUUCACAAACAAGGUUACCCGGCCUUAGGGUUACAUCUCUGACAAAACUUCUUGUAAUAGAAACUUUAAUUUCUCCUAAAGUUACGUUUUCCCAACUUACACCCUGUCGAGUGUUUUUUUCAGUUUCUUAACGAAGCCUUACUCUCCACAGGUUUGCACUUAUUAUUACGUCUUCUUUUUAUCCAACUCCUUGUCUCCUAACGCACGGACGUCGAACUUCUCGCUGAACCCCCGCAGGACCGUCAGCCCCGCUCACCCCGAUCUAGUUACUCAUAUAGGCGUAGCAACAUCGUCCUACGAUUCUUGUAGUAGGGAGGUCAAGUAAGGCUAGGGAUAGCCGGUUUAACUUCUUUUAGCUAGGUUUGCUGUUGCUAACCCUGCAGUCUGGUCUACUCCCAACUAGUGGUCCGUCUCUGCCUAGUACUAGCUCUACGAGACUAAGUAGAGGAGUAAUUAGACACACUACACACAAGGUCUCUCUCUCCCUCUCUCUCUCUCUCUAAUGGUGUUGCGUUGUACCUAUCUGUAUCUCCUUAAUCUGGUAGCAACACGAGAGAAAGAGUCCGGUGCCGAUGAGGUAACAAGGGACCGGUGAGUACGAGAGAUCUCUGUACCCUUCGCCGACCGCGACACACUCCCGCUGCCUCCCACGGCCACCUAGCACAUAACCGCCAACUGAGACGGGACGGCCCCGAGCGUUUGAGGUAACCGGUGUAGCUGACUGGGGCAAGCGCUCCGCCUCCUCGUUUCCACUGGCGGGCUUCCUUCCUCCUUUGUCCCCACACCACACCCGCACACUGACGUCUACCUCUUCCCCUUGGUCGCCGCCUCGUCUGCCUCCGGCAAGCACUCUCCUUCACUUUCUCCUCCCAGCACCCCCACAACUCGCCCGCGGAAUCCCUAGCACCCUCGCAAAAGAAAAAGAAAAAGAAAAAUAGAAUGGACUUUUCACCCUUAGUAUCCCCCACCCUCCGACCAACCAACACUUACACCUAAGAAAAGAUCGCUAGAAAAUCCACGCCCUAAAGAGCUCCCCUCCUCGCUUCCUCCCCCUAACUUCCUCCAGCUUGGUAGUGCUGCAAGCUAGGGGGAAAUUAUCAUCUCUAACUUCUUAAGUCGAAUUUAUAAAAGAACUAAUGAACCGUGGUAGAUUAAACGUACGUAUAUACCAACACCGUAAGUUAUAUUCCGUAUGG